This is a long non-coding RNA of Mus musculus (house mouse), 445 nucleotides long. RefSeq annotates it as predicted gene, 33401. The transcript is spliced from 3 exons. The record is from RefSeq and is a predicted model, not a curated record. Lineage: Eukaryota; Metazoa; Chordata; Mammalia; Rodentia; Muridae.
UGGCACUGGCACUGCUGCCUCUUUAGAGGAGGUCCAACCCACUCUACAGACGCCUAAGCUGUCAUAAGGACAGUGCUGGGACCAGUUGGCAUGGUGACCAGCUGUGCUGAAAGUGGUGAUCUCUAGCGGCUUCUGAACACCAGGAGUGGUUCUAGGCUCUCUCAAUCGAGUGAAAAAUGGUCUCUGUCCCAGAGUUGAGAAGAAAUCGAAGAAGGCAGGGAGAAGAAAAGACCCUGGGAGGUGAACCACUGCUCCAGCUCAACAGCUAAGGAGCUCCGAGCUUUUGUGUUCCGUACAGCCCUUUCCUGACUCCAGCGUGGAACCUGAGAAGUGGGAUUCUUCUGUUAGGUAAUGAAGCCUGUCACUCAAGAAACAGAGCGACAGGAAAAUCAAAGUACACAUGUAACAUAUACACACAGACCACACACACACACAUAUACACACA